GGGUCUGGCUGGCCGGUCCGCCUCACCGCGAGUACUGGUCCGGCUGGACCUUUCCUUCUGGGGAAUCCCAUGGCCUUCACUGGCUGUGGGUGGAACCAGGACUUUUACUGUGAAAAAAUUAGAGUGUUCAAAGCAGGCCUUUGCUCGAAUACAUUAGCAUGGAAUAAUAGAAUAGGACGUGCGGUUCUAUUUUGUUGGUUUCUAGGACCGCCGUAAUGAUUAAUAGGGAUAGUCGGGGGCGUCAGUAUUCAGCUGUCAGAGGUGAAAUUCUUGGAUUUGCUGAAGACUAACUACUGCGAAAGCAUUCGCAAAGGAUGUUUUCAUUAAUCAGGGAACGAAAGUUAGGGGAUCGAAGACGAUCAGAUACCGUCGUAGUCUUAACCAUAAACUAUGCCGACUAGGGAUCGGGCGGCGUUUCUAUGAUGACCCGCUCGGCACCUUACGAGAAAUCAAAGUUUGUGGGUUCUGGGGGGAGUAUGGUCGCAAGGCUGAAACUUAAAGAAAUUGACGGAAGGGCACCACAAGGCGUGGAGCCUGCGGCUUAAUUUGACUC
This 553-nucleotide ribosomal RNA is filed under the name uncultured eukaryote. Its description in RNAcentral is "SSU rRNA". It matches the Rfam family "Eukaryotic small subunit ribosomal RNA", at positions 643 to 1201 of the family's 1831-position model. The record is from RNAcentral.